Molecule: transfer-messenger RNA, 311 nt
Filed under: Alphaproteobacteria bacterium
Lineage: Bacteria; Pseudomonadati; Pseudomonadota; Alphaproteobacteria
Rfam family: Alphaproteobacteria transfer-messenger RNA
About the family: Bacterial tmRNA, also known as 10Sa RNA or SsrA, is named for its dual tRNA and mRNA-like properties. Its role is to liberate the mRNA from a stalled ribosome. To accomplish this part of the tmRNA is used as a reading frame that ends in a translation stop signal.
Source: RNAcentral
GGCCUUUUAUUUAGGCCCCGAAAGACCUAUAUAUGGGUCUGUCGGGCAACCGACUAUGGCGAUAAACGUCUUUCGUAAUAAGCGAAGCGGACCCGGGGGCAGUACCCGGCGCCUCCACCACCAUUUCUCUGCUUUGGGGGCGAACCAGGAUCGACGCGCGUGUAAAGGUUUGACUUUUGCCCGGUAUGGUACCGCCGUUAUCGGACCAAAACUAUAGGUGCCAACGAUAAUGUUGAGCCCAUCGCUGUAGCCGCCUAAACAGCGGAGACAAGCGCGGUUCGGGGGGCACCGGGCAACAGAAGCCCCCCACU